CAGAAGUCAGGUGAGUUCCCUGCUGGUUCUUGGCCUUCUUCCCUUCACUCCAGGGCCCUCCAGCCUACCCACUCCCAAGUACCUGGAAGAAGCUCUCCACGUGUUCCCUUGGGGCCUCCUCCCGGAGUGCAGGGUCAUACAGGUUGAAGGCCCAAUUAAGCCUGUCAUCUACAGUUCCCCGAAGAAUCACGGACAAACCAGCCACAAAGUCCUGGGAAGGAGGCAGGAGGGAGCUGUGUCCUCGGGUACUCUUCACCCAACUCCUUCUCUGGGUUUGGCCUGGAGAUCCUGGCCCUGAACUCCAGGAAACAGGCUUCCCUGGCCCACCUCGCCCAGCUCACCUCAAAACUGACCGAGCCAUCAUGGUUGGUGUCAAAGGCAUUGAAGAGAAAAGUGGCAUAGGUGCUGGAGUCUGCAGGCCUAGAGAAGGACAACUGCUUCCCCUUGGGCCUUGUCCCCUCACCUCCUUGAGGAAAGAACUGGGAGUAAAUCUGCUUGAAGUUCUCCUCAUUGACAAUUCCGCUGGGACAUUCCUGGAAGGAGAGGGCACCAGGCUGAGGGCAGAGACAAAAUCCCCUUCCGUUCACCGCCCCCACCCUCCAUGGCCCAAGACUCCCAGGGAGGGGGAUAAUCUUCAAGCCUCCAGAGGACUCACCACGUGGCUCAUGUGAUGGGAGGGAAGACUUCUUUCCCAGUGCACAAAUAAAAAACAUGGAACGAAACUG
RNAcentral lists this long non-coding RNA (725 nucleotides) under Homo sapiens (human). RNAcentral's name for it is "HSALNT0359693". Lineage: Eukaryota; Metazoa; Chordata; Mammalia; Primates; Hominidae. The record is from RNAcentral.